AGUGAACGCUGGCGGUAGGCCUAACACAUGCAAGUCGAACGGCAGCACAGUAAGAGCUUGCUCUUACGGGUGGCGAGUGGCGUACGGGUGAGGAAUACAUCGGAAUCUACUUUUUCGUGGGGGAUAACGUAGGGAAACUUACGCUAAUACCGCAUACUACCUACGGUUGAAAGCAGGGGAUCUUCGGACCUUGCGCGAUUGAAUGAGCCGAUGUCGGAUUAGCUAGUUGGCGGGGUAAAGGCCCACCAAGGCGACGAUCCGUAGCUGGUCUGAGAGGAUGAUCAGCCACACUGGAACUGAGACACGGUCCAGACUCCUACGGGAGGCAGCAGUGGGGAAUAUUGGACAAUGGGCGCAAGCCUGAUCCAGCCAUACCGCGUGGGUGAAGAAGGCCUUCGGGUUGUAAAGCCCUUUUGUUGGGAAAGAAAAGCAGCAGGUUAAUACCCCGCUGUUCUGACGGUACCCAAAGAAUAAGCACCGGCUAACUUCGUG
This 492-nucleotide ribosomal RNA is filed under the name uncultured bacterium. RNAcentral describes it as "partial 16S ribosomal RNA". It matches the Rfam family "Bacterial small subunit ribosomal RNA", at positions 29 to 507 of the family's 1533-position model. The record is from RNAcentral.